UGGGGAAUAUUGGACAAUGGGCGCAAGCCUGAUCCAGCCAUGCCGCGUGGAUGAAGAAGGCCCUAGGGUUGUAAAGUCCUUUCGGUGGUGAAGAUAAUGACGGUAACCACACAAGAAGCCCCGGCUAAUUUCGUGCCAGCAGCCGCGGUAAUACGAAAGGGGCUAGCGUUGUUCGGAAUUACUGGGCGUAAAGCGCGCGUAGGCGGCCUGCCAAGUUAGGGGUGAAAUCCCGGGGCUCAACCCCGGAACUGCCUCUAAAACUGGCAAGCUGGAGGAUGCGAGAGGAUAGUGGAAUUCCGAGUGUAGAGGUGAAAUUCGUAGAUAUUCGGAAGAACACCAGUGGCGAAGGCGACUGUCUGGCGCAUUUCUGACGCUGAGGCGCGAAAGCGUGGGGAGCAAACAGGAUUAGAUACCCCCGUAGUCC
This 424-nucleotide ribosomal RNA is filed under the name uncultured prokaryote. RNAcentral's name for it is "bacterial SSU rRNA". It matches the Rfam family "Bacterial small subunit ribosomal RNA", at positions 355 to 796 of the family's 1533-position model. The record is from RNAcentral.